GGGUAGGGGGCGUGAGAGCGUGACCCCCCACACUGGUACUGAAACACGGACCAGAUACCUACGGGUAGCAGCAGCAAGGAAUAUUGCCCAACGGACGAAAGUCUGAGGCAGCAACACCGCGUGGAGGACGAAGGCCUUCGGGUCGUAAGCUCCUUUUCUGGGGGAAGAGAACGGACGGUACCCCAGGAAUAAGGCCCGGCUAACUACGUGCCAGCAGCCGCGGUAAAACGUAGGGGUCGAGCGUUAUCCGGAUUUACUGGGCGUAAAGAGCAUGUAGGCGGUUGCUUAAGUCGGACGUAAAAGCUCCUGGCUCAACUAGGAGAGGCCGUUCGAAACUGAGCAACUCGAGGAUGGUAGAGGAGAGUGGAAUUCCCGGUGUAGUGGUGAAAUGCGUAGAUAUCGGGAGGAACACCAGUGGCGAAGGCGGCUCUCUGGGCCAUUCCUGACGCUGAGAUGCGAAAGCUAGGGGAGAGAACGGGAUUAGAAACCCUGGUAUUCCUAGCCGUAAACGAUGUCAACUAGGUGUAGGAGGUAUUGACCCCUUCUGUGCUGCAGCAAACGCGUUAAGUUGACCGCCUGGGGACUACGGCCGCAAGGCUAAAACUCAAAGGAAUUGACGGGGACCCGCACAAGCAGCGGAGCGUGUGGUUUAAUUCGAGGCUACGCGAAGAACCUUACCAGGGUUUGACAUGGCGGUAGUAGGGAUCCGAAAGGUGACCGACCCUUCGGGGAGCCGUCACAGGUGCUGCAUGGCUGUCGUCAGCUCGUGCCGUGAGGUGUUAGGUUAAGUCCUGUAACGAGCGCAACCCACGUCGUUAGUUAUACGUGUCUAACGAGACUGCCGGUGAUAAGCCGGAGGAAGGUGUGGAUGACGUCAAGUCAGCAUGGCCUUUAUAUCCUGGGCUACACACACGCUACAAUGGCCGGUACAAUGGGCAGCGAAACCGCGAGGUGGAGCCAAUCCUCUAAAGCCGGUCUCAGUUCGGAUUGUAGGCUGCAACUCGCCUGCAUGAAGUCGGAGUUGCUAGUAAACGCACGUCAGCACAGUGCGUUGAAUACGUUCCCGGGUCUUGUACACACCGCCCGUCACGUCAUGGAAGUUGGCAACGCCUGAAGUCGGUGGGCUAACCCUAACGGGAGGCAGCCGCCCAAGGCGGGGUCGGUAACUGGGACGAAGUCGUAACAAGGUAGCUGUAGCGGAAGCUGCGGCUG
RNAcentral lists this ribosomal RNA (1212 nucleotides) under metagenome. Its description in RNAcentral is "bacterial SSU rRNA". It matches the Rfam family "Bacterial small subunit ribosomal RNA", at positions 281 to 1520 of the family's 1533-position model. The record is from RNAcentral.